Molecule: non-coding RNA, 169 nt
Organism: Cricetulus griseus (Chinese hamster)
Lineage: Eukaryota; Metazoa; Chordata; Mammalia; Rodentia; Cricetidae
Source: RefSeq, a predicted model, not a curated record
UUUUUUUUUUUUUUUUUUUUUUUUUUUUUAGUGUUUGAAAGGUACAAGAACUACAGCCCUUAUGACAUGCUGGAGAGCAUCAAGAAGGAGGUCAAAGGAGACUUGGAAAAUGCCUUCCUGAACCUGGUCCAGUGCAUUCAGAACAAGCCUCUGUACUUUGCUGACCGGC